GUCCUUCAGCUGGACAAAAUUUACUCUGACAUCUGACCUCAAAUCAGGUAGGACUACC
This 58-nucleotide ribosomal RNA is filed under the name homobasidiomycete sp. WRCF-B7. RNAcentral's name for it is "partial 28S ribosomal RNA". The record is from RNAcentral. Lineage: Eukaryota; Fungi; Basidiomycota; Agaricomycetes.